RNAcentral lists this transfer RNA (89 nucleotides) under Candidatus Aerophobota bacterium. RNAcentral's name for it is "Candidatus Aerophobetes bacterium tRNA-Ser". It matches the Rfam family "tRNA". From Rfam's summary of the family: Transfer RNA (tRNA) molecules are approximately 80 nucleotides in length. Their secondary structure includes four short double-helical elements and three loops (D, anti-codon, and T loops). Lineage: Bacteria; Candidatus Aerophobota. The record is from RNAcentral. RNAcentral also lists the same sequence under 1 other name.
GGAGGGGUGUCCGAACUGGCAAGGAGCCGGUCUUGAAAACCGGUGAAGGGCGAAAGCCUGUCUGGGUUCGAGUCCCAGUCCCUCCGCCA